GGCAGAUGAUGGAGGUUUUCUCACGGUGGUCUGCGGAUGCCACUGUGGGCAGUGCUCAAAGCGCCAAUGGCUCAGCUAAUGCCAGGGG
Molecule: small nucleolar RNA, 88 nt
Organism: Camelus dromedarius (Arabian camel)
Lineage: Eukaryota; Metazoa; Chordata; Mammalia; Artiodactyla; Camelidae
Source: Ensembl